CCGGACGUAGCGCAGAGGCAGUCGCGUCUCCACGGCAUGGAGGAGGACGCCGGUUCGAAUCCGGCCGUCCGGG
Molecule: transfer RNA, 73 nt
Filed under: Streptomyces radiopugnans
Lineage: Bacteria; Bacillati; Actinomycetota; Actinomycetes; Kitasatosporales; Streptomycetaceae
Description: tRNA-Ala
Rfam family: tRNA
About the family: Transfer RNA (tRNA) molecules are approximately 80 nucleotides in length. Their secondary structure includes four short double-helical elements and three loops (D, anti-codon, and T loops). Further hydrogen bonds mediate the characteristic L-shaped molecular structure. tRNAs have two regions of fundamental functional importance: the anti-codon, which is responsible for specific mRNA codon recognition, and the 3' end, to which the tRNAs corresponding amino acid is attached (by aminoacyl-tRNA synthetases). tRNAs cope with the degeneracy of the genetic code in two manners: having more than one tRNA (with a specific anti-codon) for a particular amino acid; and 'wobble' base-pairing, i.e. permitting non-standard base-pairing at the 3rd anti-codon position.
Source: RNAcentral